Molecule: long non-coding RNA, 839 nt
Organism: Hyaena hyaena (striped hyena)
Lineage: Eukaryota; Metazoa; Chordata; Mammalia; Carnivora; Hyaenidae
Exons: 4
Source: RefSeq, a predicted model, not a curated record
UCGGACGCUAAACAGACUAAGCCACCCAGGAGCCCCCAUGUGAUCGUUUUUGUGUGUCAGCUUGGUGAUGCUGUGGUGCCUGCUUGCCUGGUCAAACACCAAGCCUAGAUUUGCUGUGAAGGUGUUUACAGAUGUGACUGACCUUUAACUCCGUGUACUUUGAAAAAAGCAGGUCAUCCUCCGUAGUGCGGGUGGGCCUCCUCUAACCAGUUGAAGGCCUGAAGAGCAGAGACAGGCUGAAAAAGCAGCAAAUCAGCCUCAAUAUUGCAACACAGAAACUGAGUUUUGCGAGGCCUAUUGGCCCGCUUUGCAGAUUUCGGACUCAAGUUUACGCAAUCGAUUCUUCCCUGGGUUUCCAGGCUGCCCCUCAGAUUUCACAGUUCAAGGCCCCCGCAUGAGCCAAGUGCUUCAAAUAAAUCUCUUUAUAUAUUAUUGGUUCUGUUUCUUGGAGAAUUCCAGCCAAUACAGGAUGCCUCAAAGCCAGUGUACUGAGACAUCUCCCAGGAGUUGAAGAAACAAAGCACGGUGUUUAACCUCUGGAAUUUUCUUGGACAAAGUCUGCUCAUCUAUAUGGACAAUUUCCCAUCCAUCACAACUAAGCUCAGGCAUUGCCUCCUGUAGGAAAGUUUUCUUGUGAAGCAGGCUUUGGAGAAACCGUUCUUAACUUCUUUCCCUGAAGGUGACUCUUCUGUAGUUUUCUUCACUGGCUUUUUCCGCUUACUUUCGAUCUCCCCAGCCCACAAAGGAGAGCGAUUUAAAAUCUACCACCACCUGGGGCCUGCACCCGCUCCGCCUUCUCCCGCCUGCGUCAGUGUUUGAAUUAAUGGAGUUGCUUUGAC